GCCUUCGUGGUGUAAUGGUCAGCACGCUCGACGCGUAACCGAGAGGUCCGCGGUUCGAUUCCCGGCGAAGGCG
Molecule: transfer RNA, 73 nt
Filed under: Stegodyphus mimosarum
Lineage: Eukaryota; Metazoa; Arthropoda; Arachnida; Araneae; Eresidae
Rfam family: tRNA
About the family: Transfer RNA (tRNA) molecules are approximately 80 nucleotides in length. Their secondary structure includes four short double-helical elements and three loops (D, anti-codon, and T loops).
Source: Rfam by way of RNAcentral